GUCAGUUAACAAUAUUUUACAACUAUUAGAGGUUUAUUAUCAGACAUACUGUGGGAAACCCCUAAUAUAAUACUAAUAAUACUUUACUUAUCUGUAAUGAUUCAUUCAUUAAAAAAUGGGAUGUAAGACAAAACAAGGAGGUAUAUUCGUGGUAUUAUCUAACGCAUGAAUUAUAUUGCAUUUCAUCUGAUAAUGCAUAUACAAUGAUGACAGGAACAAAAGAUGGCAAAGCGCUCCUAUGGGAUAUAAGACGCAAUACUUUUAUUCAAAAGUAUUUUGUGGAUAAAAAUAACACGAUAUGUUCUUUACAAUUUGAUAGCAGCCACUUAUAUGCUGCUACUCGUCAACAUUUAUAUGAAUAUAACUUUGCAGCUCAUUCUCUAUAUUGAUUUCAACACUUGCACUACACUGCUCUAGUGCACACUAAAG
Linepithema humile (Argentine ant) is the source of this 429-nucleotide non-coding RNA. The record is from RefSeq and is a predicted model, not a curated record. Lineage: Eukaryota; Metazoa; Arthropoda; Insecta; Hymenoptera; Formicidae.